Molecule: long non-coding RNA, 464 nt
Organism: Ictalurus punctatus (channel catfish)
Lineage: Eukaryota; Metazoa; Chordata; Actinopteri; Siluriformes; Ictaluridae
Source: Ensembl
CUCUCUCUCACACACACACACACACACACACACAUUCAGAUGCUGAUUCUCACUUUCGGGAAAUGUAGAUUAGCCAGUCCACCUACAUGCAUGUUUUUGGGAGGAAAUUGGAGAACCUGGAGGGAACGCACACAGAGAGUAACCCAAGCUCAGGAUCGAACCAUUGAAUGUAUCUAGUCAGAGAGCCUAUCCCAGGGAUCUCAGGACAGAAGGUGGCGGACAACCUACCAAACCAUCACAAGGCACAAUCGCACACUACUGACAAUUCUGAAGGGCCAAUCAGCCUGCAAUGCACGUGUUUGGCCUGAGGGAGGAAACCGGAGUACCCGGAGGAAACCCCCAAAGCACGAGGAGAACAUUCAAGCUCUGCGCACACAGGGUGGAGACGGGAUUCGAGCCUCCAACCCCAGAGGUGUCGUGUCACGGCGAACUAGUGACUCCAUUUCCCAGAAUGCAAACAUGGC